Molecule: long non-coding RNA, 476 nt
Organism: Selaginella moellendorffii
Lineage: Eukaryota; Viridiplantae; Streptophyta; Lycopodiopsida; Selaginellales; Selaginellaceae
Exons: 2
Source: RefSeq, a predicted model, not a curated record
AUUUAGGGCUAAAUGGGAAAUCUUCUUGGCCGCUAAGGCGAGAUUCUGUACCGAGCGAUGCUGGCCAGUGGCAAUAGCCUCGUCCCACACACCAUUGGGUGUGGUAGGCGCCAGGAUUUGGAGAGGGCAGGGAUAGAUGCACCGCUCUUGGAGGGCUCAAGGAUCUUAACAUGCUGCAGAAAGAUCUGACUGGUAACGCAGUGAUACCAAUUUCUUUGCUUCUCUCUCCUUUUUUUCUAGACCUUGGAGACUCCCAAGUAUCAAGGGUAAGAACUGGUUUCUUUUCUCCUGGAAGCUUUUGUUCUCCACAGGGAAAAAAGAGAGAAAACACAGCUCCACCUUGAGUGCCUAAACCACGAACAUUGCUCACCGUUAUUCCUCGAAUUCCAACUCUCAGCAAUGCUUGAUUGAAAGAACAAAAAGCUUGAAUCAAAAAAACCUUGAAUCCUUGAGAGGAUGUGAUUAGGUUUGUGCCA